AGUGAACGCUGGCGGCGUGCUUAACACAUGCAAGUCGAACGAGAACGGAUUAUAGCUUGCUAUAAUUGUCAGCUAAGUGGCGCACGGGUGAGUAAUGUAUAGGUAAUAUGCCUCUAACUAAGGGAUAACAAAUGGAAACGUUUGCUAAUACCUUAUACUCCUUAUUAACAGAAGUUAAUAAGGGAAAGAUUUAUUGGUAAGAGAUUAGCCUGUAUUGUAUCAGUUAGUUGGUGGGGUAAUGGCUUACCAAGACUAUGACACAUAACUGGUUUGAGAGGAUGAUCAGUCACACUGGAACUGAGAGACGGUCCAGACUCCUACGGGAGGCAGCAGUGGGGAAUAUUGCACAAUGGACGAAAGUCUGAUGCAGCAACGCCGCGUGGAGGAUGACACAUUUCGGUGCGUAAACUCCUUUUAUAUGGGAAGAUAAUGACGGUAUUAUAUGAAUAAGCACCGGCUAACUCCGUGCCAGCAGCCGCAGUAA
RNAcentral lists this ribosomal RNA (484 nucleotides) under uncultured bacterium. RNAcentral's name for it is "partial 16S ribosomal RNA". It matches the Rfam family "Bacterial small subunit ribosomal RNA", at positions 29 to 523 of the family's 1533-position model. The record is from RNAcentral.